This is a non-coding RNA of Schistosoma haematobium, 45 nucleotides long. NCBI's taxonomy places the organism in Eukaryota, Metazoa, Platyhelminthes, Trematoda, Strigeidida, Schistosomatidae. The record is from Rfam.
AUCCAGCUGACGAAUCUCAAAUAGGAUGAAACGUGAGUUCUGGAU